UCAGUUAAAGAUAGUUCCAUUCCAGAUCUGAGUACCAACUCAGUGUUGGAUGUAAAAAAGCCCGAUUACCCAUCGGGCUUUUUUAC
This 86-nucleotide antisense RNA is filed under the name Thelohanellus kitauei. Its description in RNAcentral is "ArsR-gov region gene B". It matches the Rfam family "ArsR-gov region gene B". Rfam says of the family: arsR-gov region gene B is transcribed opposite of dinQ (translates into a toxic single transmembrane peptide) with 30 complimentary nucleotides. AgrB appears to repress accumulation of dinQ by RNA interference and counteracts its toxicity. The record is from Rfam by way of RNAcentral. Lineage: Eukaryota; Metazoa; Cnidaria; Myxozoa; Bivalvulida; Myxobolidae.